AAAACAUAACCUGUCGAAGAAAUUAAAGAAAUUAGUUUGCUGCUAAAAUUUAUUGGAUCACAAACAGAGCGCUCGGUUUGUUUGGCUUAAGAAUGGUACCUUGGAGGUUCUUCGCCACUUGGAUAUCAUAUUUACAGGAAAGGGAAUGCGCCUGCGGUUAUAAUAACUAGCCCUCAUAUACUGGGAGGAUGGCCGGUGGUCUCACUGCUCUUCAUAUUUUUUCUCAGUCGGUUGUGCGCGACUUAUACACUCAUAGCCAUGUUCGCUACAUUUAGCUUGGUGAGAAUCACCCAUUCCCGUCAUUCUUGUUGGGGUCAUGCUUUUAGUUUGGUGUGAUUCACCCAUUCCCUCGCUGGGGUUUUCUCUCGCUUCUGGGCUAGGCCGCGUACCCCUCAGUGGCAGUUUCAGCUUGGUGUUUUCCCGAACAGUUACACGGCGCUCUGAAAUAACUGCUUGCUCAAUUUCAUAGCUUGUUCUUAGCGGCUCUUAUCUUCUUUGUUUUUUAUUGAGCUUUUUCACAAUGCUUGGCAUUCUUUUUUCAUGAUUCAGGGGUUGUGCAUGCAUCCAGUCCCCAAGGGCUCCAAAGAUUUUUAGGUCUGUUCUCGGUUGUGAUUUUGUUAGUUUUUAGUUGUGCUCUUGCUUA
Molecule: long non-coding RNA, 643 nt
Organism: Salvia miltiorrhiza (redroot sage)
Lineage: Eukaryota; Viridiplantae; Streptophyta; Magnoliopsida; Lamiales; Lamiaceae
Exons: 2
Source: RefSeq, a predicted model, not a curated record